RNAcentral lists this ribosomal RNA (497 nucleotides) under uncultured bacterium. RNAcentral describes it as "partial 16S ribosomal RNA". It matches the Rfam family "Bacterial small subunit ribosomal RNA", at positions 28 to 507 of the family's 1533-position model. The record is from RNAcentral.
GAUGAACGCUGGCGGCGUGCCUAAUACAUGCAAGUCGAGCGAACAGACGAGGAGCUUGCUCCUCUGACGUUAGCGGCGGACGGGUGAGUAACACGUGGAUAACCUACCUAUAAGACUGGGAUAACUUCGGGAAACCGGAGCUAAUACCGGAUAAUAUAUUGAACCGCAUGGUUCAAUAGUGAAAGACGGUUUUGCUGUCACUUAUAGAUUGAUCCGCGCCGCAUUAGCUAGUUGGUAAGGUAACGGCUUACCAAGGCAACGAUGCGUAGCCGACCUGAGAGGGUGAUCGGCCACAUUGGAACUGAGACACGGUCCAGACUCCUACGGGAGGCAGCAGUAGGGAAUCUGCCGCAAUGGGCGAAAGCCUGACGGAGCAACGCCGCGUGAGUGAUGAAGGUCUUCGGAUCGUAAAACUCUGUUAUUAGGGAAGAACAAAUGUGUAAGUAACUAUGCACGUCUUGACGGUACCUAAUCAGAAAGCCACGGCUAACUACGUG